AUGCUGGUGACAACGGGGCCACAGGCUUUCCUCAUGGCCAUGGCCAUCCCGCUCGCCCAGUCCGUUCUCUCUUUCGCCAUUUCCAAGAUUGGUUCAUUUGGCCGGCGCCGCCGUGACGAAGAAGAAUAUGACGACGAUGGUUACUAUUAUUCCGAUUACGGCAGCGGCGGCUGGGAAGCUGAAGAACAGUAUAGCAGCAACUCCUCGACAUACAGAGGAGACAGCAGCACUAGUAGCAGCAGGUACCAGCAGCAGCAACAGGAGGAAUCUGCAGAUUCAGAUCCAACGGUAGAAUCAGGUGAUAUUGACGGUACCACCGGCGCCGCAGCUAGAAGUGAAAGUGGUAAUAUCGGUUUUGGAGGAUGGGACGAGCUGGAAGAAGGCGACGACCGCCGCAGCAGCAGCAGGUGGCGUGCACGAGCGUCGCCGGCGGAUACUGCUACCGCUGGUGGUGCAGUGAGAACGAGUAGACCACCUGCAACUAGAAGGAGAAGAAGCAGAGGAGCUGCGGCUGCAAGGUACAGGCAGGCGCCCCUGCCGAUGCGCUUGCUCGUCGCGCUCUUCCCAUUCCUGGGUUCAUGGUUCAGAAUUUUGCUCUAA
Molecule: ribosomal RNA, 600 nt
Filed under: Triticum aestivum (bread wheat)
Lineage: Eukaryota; Viridiplantae; Streptophyta; Magnoliopsida; Poales; Poaceae
Description: partial small subunit ribosomal RNA
Source: RNAcentral